GCGUGAGAAUCUGGCUCUAGGUUCGGGACAACCACUGGAAACGGUGGCUAAUACCGGAUGUGCCGUUAUGGUGAAAGGCUAGCUGCCUAGAGAUGAGCUCGCGUCUGAUUAGCUAGAUGGUGGGGUAAGAGCCUACCAUGGCGACGAUCAGUAGCUGGUCUGAGAGGAUGAUCAGCCACACUGGGACUGAGACACGGCCCAGACUCCUACGGGAGGCAGCAGUGGGGAAUUUUCCGCAAUGGGCGAAAGCCUGACGGAGCAAUACCGCGUGAGGGAGGAAGGCUCUUGGGUUGUAAACCUCUUUUCUCAGGGAAGAAGAAUGACGGUACCUGAGGAAUCAGCAUCGGCUAACUCCGUGCCAGCGCCGCGGUAAUACGGAGGAUGCAAGCGUUAUCCGGAAUGAUUGGGCGUAAAGCGUCCGUAGGUGGUGAUGCAAGUCUAUUGUCAAAGCGUGCGGCUCAACCGCAUAAAGGCAGUGGAAACUGUGUAACUAGAGUGCAUUCGGGGCAGGGGGAAUUCCUGGUGUAGCGGUGAAAUGCGUAGAGAUCAGGAAGAACACCGGUGGCGAAAGCGCCCUGCUAGGCUGCAACUGACACUGAGGGACGAAAGCUAGGGGAGCGAAUGGGA
RNAcentral lists this ribosomal RNA (627 nucleotides) under Chlorogloeopsis fritschii BK. Its description in RNAcentral is "bacterial SSU rRNA". It matches the Rfam family "Bacterial small subunit ribosomal RNA", at positions 115 to 777 of the family's 1533-position model. Lineage: Bacteria; Bacillati; Cyanobacteriota; Cyanophyceae; Nostocales; Chlorogloeopsidaceae. The record is from RNAcentral.